RNAcentral lists this ribosomal RNA (476 nucleotides) under uncultured bacterium. Its description in RNAcentral is "bacterial SSU rRNA". It matches the Rfam family "Bacterial small subunit ribosomal RNA", at positions 28 to 502 of the family's 1533-position model. The record is from RNAcentral.
GAUGAACGCUAGCGGCAGGCCUAAUACAUGCAAGUCGAACGUGAUUGUUGUAGCAAUAUGACAUGAAAGUGGCGCACGGGUGCGUAACACGUAUGCAAUCUACCUCUAAUAGGGGGAUAGCUUCGAGAAAUCGGAAUUAAUACCCCAUAACAUCAUUAAAUGGCAUCAUUUGAUGAUCAAACCUCCGGGGAUUAGAGAUGAGCAUGCGCAACAUUAGCUAGAUGGUGAGGUAAUGGCUCACCAUGGCUACGAUGUUUAGGGGGUCUGAGAGGAUGAUCCCCCCANACUGGUACUGAGACACGGACCAGACUCCUACGGGAGGCAGCAGUAGGGAAUAUUGGGCAAUGGAGGAAACUCUGACCCAGCCAUGCCGCGUGCAGGAUGACGGCCCUCUGGGUUGUAAACUGCUUUUAUACGGGAAGAAAAAUCUACGUGUAGUAUACUGACGGUACCGUAAGAAUAAGGAUCGGCUAACU